RNAcentral lists this ribosomal RNA (376 nucleotides) under uncultured bacterium. RNAcentral describes it as "bacterial SSU rRNA". It matches the Rfam family "Bacterial small subunit ribosomal RNA", at positions 524 to 898 of the family's 1533-position model. The record is from RNAcentral.
UACAGAGGUGGCAAGCGUUGUUCGGAAUUACUGGGCGUAAAGGGCGCGUAGGCGGCCUUCUAAGUCGGACGUGAAAGCCCCAGGCUUAACCCGGGAACUGCGUCUGAUACUGGGAGGCUUGGAUUCGGGAGAGGGAUGUGGAAUUCCAGGUGUAGCGGUGAAAUGCGUAGAUAUCUGGAGGAACACCGGUGGCGAAGGCGGCAUCCUGGACCGAGAUCGACGCUGAGGCGCGAAAGCUAGGGGAGCAAACGGGAUUAGAUACCCCGGUAGUCCUAGCCCUAAACGAUGAGUGCUUGGUGUGGCGGGUAUCGAUCCCUGCCGUGCCGAAGCUAACGCAUUAAGCACUCCGCCUGGGGAGUACGGUCGCAAGGCUGAA